Non-coding RNA from Phascolarctos cinereus (koala), 1760 nucleotides. The record is from RefSeq and is a predicted model, not a curated record. Lineage: Eukaryota; Metazoa; Chordata; Mammalia; Diprotodontia; Phascolarctidae.
AUUCAGAACUGAAAAUAAAAAUAAAAAAGUUAAAGUGCUUGAUCUUUCUUUACAAAAAAAUUGAAAUAUAAUGUAACCAAAUCUUUAGAUCAAACCUUACAAGCUUUUAAGUUUUAUAUACAGAGUUAGAUUGAUCCAAGAAGAAAUCAAAGUUAUAGCAGUUCUAAAAUCUAUUAAUGCAAUGUAGGAGAAUAAUAAUGUUAAGAUUAUAGGCUAUACAAAAAAAAGGGGGAAAUUGAAAUACACCCAUCAAUUUUCAUAGACCUAUAAACUCUGGAACCUAUAUUUUAAAAGAAAACAAAAUUAUUUUCUAUCCCAUAGACUUCACCUCGGGCAAUGUCCUCAGGCUUCCUAGAAAUGCUAAUUGUAUAAACUGUUUUGAAUUGGUUAACAUGAAAGCUAAUAGCAAAGCCAUCCUGUAGAUAUUAGAAAAGGCAGCCAUGCUACUAGGUAAUUAACUGUUUGCCUUUACCAUGAAGGUUUGGCCUGUAGAAACACCCCCAGGACUUCUGUGACUCCUUAUAAAUAGAACCAUCAGGAGAUGAAUAGACUCUCUAGACAUCGUGGAAAAACAGAGUGCCUCAUUCCCCACAGACUGAGCUUCAUUUUAUCCACAGGCAGGAGGUGGUUUCUGUGAAGACAGGGACACUGGGCAAUUGGUCUCUUCUGAAUUAGGCCCCUGUUCUCACCCACGAACAAUCUUCAUGAUGAUGAUUGCUCAUUCCACCAUUGAAUGAAUCUGAGGAAAAGGCCAAGGAUACAGGAUGAAUGACAGUCAUGGAGAUUUCUCUUCUUUCACAGGUAAGGAAAUUCACUCAUACAAAUAGCAUUAACCAAAUUUUAUAUGAUAGGAAAGUGGAUUUUACAGGUUCUUGGUUAUUGUGCCUCUUGUACAGUAAGGAAGAAGAGGCCAAGAGAAAUAUGACCUUCAUAUAACUGAAGUAGAAAGAUGCAAUACUUGCAUUUCCAAAAAAAAAUCUUUAAAGCCCUUUUUGUAACUCAUUGAAUGUCAAAAAUCCAGUCUCUAUAGUAUGUUAGAACUUUUUUAGUUUUGACCUCUGCAUAUUUCUGUGUAAGGGAAUUACAAUGAUGAUAGCACUAUCAAUUAAAAGUAGCAAUAUGUGCAAAAUAAAUAUUUUAAUGAAAACAAAUAUUUAAAAACAAUUAUACUGCUUAUGUUCCUUGGAAAUGAGGGAGCAUGGUAAAGACUUCAUUAUUAAAGGGGAGCUUUUGUAAUACUGUAGAAAAAUCCAUCUUCACCAUAAUGAAAAUAACUUUUGAAGUUUAUAAAAAUGAAGGAAGUGAGAGAAAGAAGCAAUUCACUUGAAUAGAUUGAAGAUUUGCAUAUAUUAUAUAUGUAUAAGGUAAAUAUACAUGUUACAACAUUCAAAACAAAUUAUAACAAAAUUAUGAGUUUGCAUUUUCUUGUACCCUUCAAUCUGUAAAGGAAAACUAACUUUAACAGAAGUUUGAGUUUAAUGCAGUUAGUAUAUGGGAAAUAGUAAUUUGACAAAUAUCAUGAUGAAGUAAACAAUUUAGAAUAGGGAGAUUUAGAGAUAUAAUCAUAGUCACUGUUGAUCCAGUCAUUGAUGGACAUUGUUAGAAAUUUCAUGAUUUCAGAGGUGACCUCUGAUAUCUCAGAUUAAAUUUGAUCUUAACAAAACGGUUUCUUCUAUAAUAUUUAUGUGCAAAAAGCUCCUGAUUGGAAAAUCAAGGAAAAAUAACUUUUGACAAGAAAUCAAUCAUGAAUUUGGAAAACA